Molecule: long non-coding RNA, 1793 nt
Filed under: Musa acuminata (dwarf banana)
Lineage: Eukaryota; Viridiplantae; Streptophyta; Magnoliopsida; Zingiberales; Musaceae
Description: long non-coding RNA (MACU_LNC010265)
Source: RNAcentral
UUCUUCUUCUUGUUCUUCUUCUUCGUCUUCUUCUUCUGCUUCUCUUCUUCUCCUCUUCUUCCCUUCUCCUCCCCGACGCCCCACACAUGAACUCCUAUGUUUCCUCCUACACGAAACAGAUGUGUUGCAGCCCUAGCUGCUGCAGCUAUCUCUCUUUCCUCUCCCUCUUCCCUCUCUUCUUCUUCUUUUCUUCUCUUCUCCCUCUUCUUCCUCUCUUCUUUUCCCUCUUCUUCUCUUCUCCCUCUACUUCUCUUCUUCUUCUCCCCACGCCCCAUCGCUCCUCUCUCUAUUUCUCAAAAGAAACAGAGAGAGCGUGGGAGGCGGUCGGAUAAAACCGAAAUUUUCGGUUUUCUUUAUUUUUUUUCUUUUUGCAACUUAACAAUUUAGUCUUUGAAAUUUUUAUAUUUACAUAUAGGUCCUCCAAUUUACAUAUAAAUCCUUAUUAAUAAAUUUUCAAAAGUGAGGGAUAUUACACUCUCCCCACCUUAAAAGAAAAUUUAAUCCUCUAAAUUGGUCAUAACUCAAUCGAUGAAAAGAUGAGGAUUAUGAUUUCUUUAUUUCCUCCUCCUGCUCUCAAAUAGUUUCAUCAAUACAAUACAAUUACACAAUUAUCCAAGAGUGACCGAAAUAUUCUCCUCCUUGAUCCUCAAUAGUUGGUAACCCGACAUUCAAACAAUCUUUGAAAAUACCUGUGCACCCUAUAGUUAAUCAAACAAGUCAUCACUUUAGAGAAUACUCAUUUUUUAUGGUCACCUAAUUCAACUGUCUAUAAUCAAUACAAAGCCUCAAUGUUCCCUCCAUCUUUUUAACUAAUACCAGAGCACCCCAUGAUGAAAUAUUAAGCCAAAUAAAAUCCUUAUUUAAUAGUCCUUGUAGUUGCUUUUUCAAUUCCACUUACUCAAAUGAUAUCAUUUUGUAGAGAGACUUAGAUAUUGGGAUUGUCCUAAGGACCAAAUCAAAAGCAAAGUCACAUUUGGAGGUAAUCCAAGCAAGUCAUCCUGGGAUACAUUAGGCAAGGAGAUAAAUCAUGUCCAAUACUCUCAAAAUAAAAGAUCGACUGAUCAAAUAUGCAAAAAGUGAUCAUUUGUUAUAUACCAAUCCAUACUGGUAUGAUAAGAAGAUAGUCAAUCCAUACCAAGUAUAAUAUCAAAACUUCAAAUCUCUAGGAGAACUAAAUCAGCAAAAGUUCAAGUUCUCCAAUAAAAAUCAGACAAGAGGACCAGAUUCAAGUUUGUUAUCAAAGAAUCUCCAAUGAUCGUAUUUACAUAUAGCACAUAAUGUAGUGGUCUAGGUUGAAUACCUAUGUGAUAAGCAAAAUAUUAUGAAUCAAAUCAUAGAUGGGACCCAUGGUCAAACAAAUAUUUGCAUUCUUUCAUAAACAUGCAUAAUACCUUCGAUCACAAAUUCAGAAGUUUUAGAAUCAUAUUCAGUGAUAGCAUACACUCUGACAUGGGCUGAUGAUUUAAGAGGCAGUGACUCUUUCUUCUCGUUCAAAGGGUAGUCUUUUAUUUUAUAAUCCAAUUUUCCACAAGCAAAAUAGGCUCUAGUCACCCGAAAACACAAACUUGUUUCAUAAUUUAACUUGCAAUUCACACAUGAUUGAGUCUUUUGUGGUGACUUCCCUUUUCAAAUUCAAAUGUCUUGACCCUCUUGUUAUCACUUUUUAAUUCAUUUCCAAUCAUAUUUUUAUUGGUAAACUUGUCCUUAUCAUUCUUGCCACUGAUCUCCAAAAAUUCUUUUCAUUGUUGCCAUUAAUGAUCAGCCUCUACUUCAAAUAUAAGGUGGCAAAAGAA